CAUGGUUCAUUUCUUCUUAAUCUCAUCUACUAUUUCAUAAAUUUUAGCAUUGUUCAGAAUUUCUAUCUCCAUAAUUUCCAUCCUAAUCAGCACCUUGUCGAUCAAAACACGCAUGUUGUUUUCCAUGUUCUCAAUGACAUCCAUCAAUUUUCCCAUAUAUGUUGCAACACAUUCAGGGAUAUCUUCCUUUUCAGAAUCAUCACCCUUUCCUGUUUCCCUUCUAGAACGUUAAAAAGCCAUGAGAAGUUUGAGAUUUUGUGACUUUGAUUCGG
RNAcentral lists this long non-coding RNA (272 nucleotides) under Theobroma cacao (cacao). RNAcentral describes it as "long non-coding RNA (TCAC_LNC000658)". Lineage: Eukaryota; Viridiplantae; Streptophyta; Magnoliopsida; Malvales; Malvaceae. The record is from RNAcentral.